RNAcentral lists this ribosomal RNA (253 nucleotides) under uncultured bacterium. RNAcentral's name for it is "partial 16S ribosomal RNA". It matches the Rfam family "Bacterial small subunit ribosomal RNA", at positions 524 to 776 of the family's 1533-position model. The record is from RNAcentral.
GACAGAGGGUGCAAGCGUUAAUCGGAAUUACUGGGCGUAAAGGGCUCGUAGGCGGCUAAAUAAGUCGGAUGUAAAAUCCCUGGGCUUAACCUAGGACUGUCAUUCGAUACUGUUUAGCUAGAGUUGGAUAGAGGAGAGUGGAAUUUCCGGUGUAGCGGUGAAAUGCGUAGAUAUCGGAAGGAACACCAGUGGCGAAGGCAAUCCCCUGGGCCUGCACUGACGCUCAUGCACGAAAGCGUGGGGAGCAAACAGG